CCGCCGGCGACCGGCGCACGGGUGAGUAACACGUAUGCAACCUGGCCGUGACAGAUGGAUAACCGGGAGAAAUCCCGCCUAAUACAGCAUGACGCCGCGGGAGGACAUCCUCCCGCGGCCAAAGGGGCGACCCGGUCACGGGUGGGCAUGCGGCGCAUUAGGUAGUUGGUGGGGCAACGGCCCACCAAGCCGACGAUGCGUAGGGGUUCUGAGAGGAAGGUCCCCCACAUUGGAACUGAGACACGGUCCAAACUCCUACGGAAGGCAGCAG
Molecule: ribosomal RNA, 271 nt
Filed under: uncultured bacterium
Lineage: Bacteria
Description: partial 16S ribosomal RNA
Rfam family: Bacterial small subunit ribosomal RNA
Source: RNAcentral